CGCGGCCUAUCAGCUUGUUGGUGAGGUAAUGGCUCACCAAGGCGACGACGGGUAGCCGGCCUGAGAGGGCGACCGGCCACACUGGGACUGAGACACGGCCCAGACUCCUACGGGAGGCAGCAGUGGGGAAUAUUGCACAAUGGGCGAAAGCCUGAUGCAGCGACGCCGCGUGAGGGAUGACGGCCUUCGGGUUGUAAACCUCUUUCAGCAGGGAAGAAGCGAAAGUGACGGUACCUGCAGAAGAAGCACCGGCUAACUACGUGCCAGCAGCCGCGGUAAUACGUAGGGUGCGAGCGUUGUCCGGAAUUAUUGGGCGUAAAGAGCUUGUAGGCGGUUUGUCGCGUCUGCUGUGAAAAUCCGGGGCUCAACCCCGGACUUGCAGUGGGUACGGGCAGACUAGAGUGUGGUAGGGGAGACUGGAAUUCCCGGUGUAGCGGUGAAAUGCGCAGAUAUCAGGAGGAACACCGAUGGCGAAGGCAGGUCUCUGGGCCACUACUGACGCUGAGAAGCGAAAGCAUGGGGAGCGAACAGGAUUAGAUACCCUGGUAGUCCAUGCCGUAAACGUUGGGAACUAGGUGUGGGUCUCAUUCCACGAGAUCCGUGCCGCAGCUAACGCAUUAAGUUCCCCGCCUGGGGAGUACGGA
This 644-nucleotide ribosomal RNA is filed under the name uncultured Actinomycetes bacterium. RNAcentral describes it as "bacterial SSU rRNA". It matches the Rfam family "Bacterial small subunit ribosomal RNA", at positions 232 to 886 of the family's 1533-position model. The record is from RNAcentral. Lineage: Bacteria; Bacillati; Actinomycetota; Actinomycetes.